Molecule: unclassified non-coding RNA, 427 nt
Filed under: soil metagenome
Description: partial contains 5.8S ribosomal RNA, internal transcribed spacer 2, and large subunit ribosomal RNA
Rfam family: 5.8S ribosomal RNA (bases 1-120)
Source: RNAcentral
GAUGAAGAACGUAGCGAAAUGCGAUACGUAAUGUGAAUUGCAGAAUUCCGUGAAUCAUCGAAUCUUUGAACGCACAUUGCGCCCCUUGGUAUUCCAGGGGGCAUGCCUGUUUGAGCGUCAUUUCCUUCUCAAAGAACUCUUCUUUGGUAGUGAGUGACACUCUUUCUAGAGUUAACUUGAAAUUGCUAGCCAUAUAAUAGCUGUUGAUUGCUGACUUUGGACGGAGCGAUUUGUCCAGUCUGCUGAUACCGAUUGUCGUAUUAGGUUUUACCAACUUCGACGGACGUAGUGUUAGUGGGCGUUACUACGACUCUUUGCGAAACCCAAUGGAAAGCGAGCCGACGCAUUGGCGAACAAUACUCUUUAAGUUUGACCUCAAAUCAGGUAGGAAUACCCGCUGAACUUAAGCAUAUCAAUAAGCGGAGGA